This is a long non-coding RNA of Syngnathoides biaculeatus (alligator pipefish), 424 nucleotides long. RefSeq lists it as uncharacterized. The transcript has 3 exons. Lineage: Eukaryota; Metazoa; Chordata; Actinopteri; Syngnathiformes; Syngnathidae. The record is from RefSeq and is a predicted model, not a curated record.
CUCCCUUCUAUCCCGGUCGCGAUUGGUUUCAUCCGGGCGUAGUCGACCUUUUCGGCCGAUCGGCUCCCAGCUUGUCUUUCGGUUCUCCACAGCCGUGCGUUGUUAGUUUUGAUUAGUUUGGGUGGGUCUGCCACAAUUUCAGAACCUUUUGGAUCGUUGCAGGUCAUAGGUCUGGUGUUGACAUUUUUUUUUUUUUUUUAUCCACCGUAUCUAAUCAACGUGUAGAAUGUCCUCGACACGACGGCGCCAAAUGAUCUCGUUUGCAAGGCAGACACGGCAGUGAAGCUUUAGCACACGGUGCCAUUCUCCUGGCGCGACUUGGGGCAGGUGGACCUCGGGAUGGGCUGCACGGACGGCGCCAGCGUGCAGAAGAAGCCGGCGAUGAGGGUCAGGCCCAGACCCCCCCAGGCGCAGAACAUGGACC